This 268-nucleotide unclassified non-coding RNA is filed under the name uncultured fungus. RNAcentral describes it as "sequence contains ITS1". Lineage: Eukaryota; Fungi. The record is from RNAcentral.
GUAUAAAGUUUGUAGGCACAAAGGCCUUUCAUUACAUUCUAUAACAUAAUGGUGUAUAUGAAGAAAACAUAGGCCUGGAAAUGUAAGGAAAGACAAAAAGUCAAUCCUCAAACCUGAAUGCCAGGCAUUCAGAAAGAUAUCCAGAUCUACAAAAGGUGCACAGGUGGAGAUAUAAAGAUGACAAGUGUGCACAUGCUCCCGAGAGAGCCAGCAGCAACCCAUCAGGUUUAUUUCAAUAAUGAUCCUUCCGCAGGUUCACCUACGGAAA